This 87-nucleotide ribosomal RNA is filed under the name Crocus sativus. Its description in RNAcentral is "partial 5.8S ribosomal RNA". It matches the Rfam family "5.8S ribosomal RNA", at positions 73 to 154 of the family's 154-position model. Rfam says of the family: 5.8S ribosomal RNA (5.8S rRNA) is a component of the large subunit of the eukaryotic ribosome. It is transcribed by RNA polymerase I as part of the 45S precursor that also contains 18S and 28S rRNA. Lineage: Eukaryota; Viridiplantae; Streptophyta; Magnoliopsida; Asparagales; Iridaceae. The record is from RNAcentral.
UGCAGAAUCCCGUGAACCAUCGAGUCUUUGAACGCAAGUUGCGCCCGAGGCCAUCCGGUCGAGGGCACGCCUGCCUGGGCGUCACGC